UGCGGCCACAAGCAGAGGGACCCCAGGAUUCUCAAAUCUGUUACCUUGUCUCACCUCCCCUAGGAAGCAGAAGAGUGCUAUGAAAAUCUUUAGCUGCUGAUCACAGCUAUAAACGAGAUGAGGAGGGUCCCUGUCCUCUUGGUGUUUCCAGUCUCCCAAAGAAGACAGACAUGAAACAAUGAUGGUUACAGUUCAAGAUGGAGGAUUCUCCCUUUUGGAUAAUGAAAGAACUAAGUUUUGGCUUCUAACAACCAGAAGAGUCUCCCUGUGGAGGCAGGAGAGAACUGCAGCUGGGCUGCCCCUUUGUGAGGCUCCUCAGAAGUUUCCUGACUGAAAGGUCCAAUACCAAGCUGCCCAGUACAAAACUGGUCUCCUGGCAACUAUAGCUGAAUCCACCAUCGCCUCCCCUAAGAAGAGUGCUUAUCAGGGCACGUUCAUCCAAGAGAACUGAGGAAUGAGGAACAAAGAAAACAAGUUAACAUUUACCACGGCUUCCGCUACGCGCUUUACAUGAAUCAUUUUUGUUUCUUGCCAGAACCUAUGAGAUAACGUGCAGUUGCCAUAAGCACGGGAUGAUGGGCGGAAGCAGUUGCCAUAAGCACGGGAUGAUGGGCGGACCCACAGGCAGCAGUAAAGUUAUGUGCAGGGUGAAGGAUGAGGACUGAGGGGACUCGAGCAGGCA
This is a long non-coding RNA of Homo sapiens (human), 682 nucleotides long. RefSeq annotates it as GPA33 antisense RNA 1. The record is from RefSeq and is a predicted model, not a curated record. NCBI's taxonomy places the organism in Eukaryota, Metazoa, Chordata, Mammalia, Primates, Hominidae. The transcript has 6 exons.